RNAcentral lists this ribosomal RNA (451 nucleotides) under uncultured bacterium. Its description in RNAcentral is "partial 16S ribosomal RNA". It matches the Rfam family "Bacterial small subunit ribosomal RNA", at positions 29 to 523 of the family's 1533-position model. The record is from RNAcentral.
AGCGAACGCUGGCGGCAGGCUUAACACAUGCAAGUCGAGCGGGCAUAGCAAUAUGUCAGCGGCAGACGGGUGAGUAACGCGUGGGAACGUACCUUUUGGUUCGGAACAACACAGGGAAACUUGUGCUAAUACCGGAUAAGCCCUUACGGGGAAAGAUUUAUCGCCGAAAGAUCGGCCCGCGUCUGAUUAGCUAGUUGGUGAGGUAAUGGCUAACCAAGGCGACGAUCAGUAGCUGGUCUGAGAGGAUGAUCAGCCACGGUGGGACUGAGACACGGCCCAAACUCCUGCGGGAGGCAGCAGUGGGGAAUAUUGGACAAUGGGCGCAAGCCUGAUCCAGCCAUGCCGCGUGAGUGAUGAAGGCCCUAGGGUUGUAAAGCUCUUUUAUCCGGGACGAUAAUGACGGUACCGGAGGAAUAAGCCCCGGCUAACUUCGUGCCAGCAGCCGCGGUAA